RNAcentral lists this ribosomal RNA (383 nucleotides) under Klebsiella pneumoniae. RNAcentral describes it as "bacterial SSU rRNA". It matches the Rfam family "Bacterial small subunit ribosomal RNA", at positions 1031 to 1414 of the family's 1533-position model. Lineage: Bacteria; Pseudomonadati; Pseudomonadota; Gammaproteobacteria; Enterobacterales; Enterobacteriaceae. The record is from RNAcentral.
GAGACAGGUGCUGCAUGGCUGUCGUCAGCUCGUGUUGUGAAAUGUUGGGUUAAGUCCCGCAACGAGCGCAACCCUUAUCCUUUGUUGCCAGCGGUUCGGCCGGGAACUCAAAGGAGACUGCCAGUGAUAAACUGGAGGAAGGUGGGGAUGACGUCAAGUCAUCAUGGCCCUUACGACCAGGGCUACACACGUGCUACAAUGGCAUAUACAAAGAGAAGCGACCUCGCGAGAGCAAGCGGACCUCAUAAAGUAUGUCGUAGUCCGGAUUGGAGUCUGCAACUCGACUCCAUGAAGUCGGAAUCGCUAGUAAUCGUAGAUCAGAAUGCUACGGUGAAUACGUUCCCGGGCCUUGUACACACCGCCCGUCACACCAUGGGAGUGGG